UCGGCGGACUGCGCGGAGAACAGGCCGGGCAGAGUGGAGCCGAGGAGGCAGCGCCGCGUGUUUAUUUUCACGUGGCCCGAAAAGAGAGCUUAUCUUAAUGUAGUGUCUUUGGAUUUUCUGCGGUCACAAACCCCUGUGAACAUCUUUGAGAGCUGUAACGUUGUCUCCAGAAAAAUAUAUUGCCAAGAAAAAGAGGGUAACACUCCGACCUCCAGCAGACUGAACUAACACAAAAGUCACUGGCAUGCAGGGCAAGCAUACAAAUGGAGGCACAUUCCAAGCGUCUAAGUAUUUAUAAAUCAAGCUAACAACUGGGAACGGAUCCUCUUCAUGCAGCGGUCAAGUGAGAAACUGGAGAGUUUCUUGGAAAAUACUCCCAUCUUCCAUCUUCCUUUGAACCUCCUGCUCUGCAGACUCUUUCUGUUAACUCUCCUUUGCUGGCUCUGGUGACGUAACCCACCCUUUGGAGAGACCUAUCUGGCGAAGAACUCAGGAAAACCUCCAGCUGGCAGCCAGCAGCAAGAUGAGCCCCUGAGUCUGGUAGCCCACAAGGAACUAAAUCCUGCCAAUAAUUGUGUGAGCCUGGAAGUGGAUACAUCCCCAUUCAAGCCUCACAUGAGACCCCAGUCCUGGCUGACAUCUGGAUUGCAGUGUCAUAAGAGAUCUUAAAGCAGAGGACCCACUAAGUCAGGCACAGAUUUUCUGACCUACAGAAAUUAUGAGAUAAUGUGUUCUGGUAAACUGCUAAGUUUGUAGUAAUUUACUGUACUACAGUAGAUAACUAAUACAGAACCAAAAAGAAGAAUGUCAGCUAUCUCAUUGUUAAUUGUUUAAUAUUGAUUACAGGUUGAAAUGAGAGCGUUUUGGAAUAUAUUGGGCCAAAUAGAAUAUUUCACCAAAAUUUUACCUUUUUUUUUUCUUUUUUACUUUUUUAAUGUGGGUACUAGAAAAUCUAAAUACGUGGCUUGCAUUAUAUUUACACUGGACGGCACUGGCAUAGAACUCCAAGGAGACAAGAACUUCCUGUAGUUUAUGCAGCCCAGCAUCCUGGAGGGAGUUGGUUGUUACAUCCUUAGCAUCACCCUGUCACUUCCUGGGGCAUGCUACUGAAACAGAAAAUAGUCUGUCACUUCUGGAAAAGAUUGAUUCACCCUUUUUGAAGAUGGGGGAAGCUGUUGUAUAAUUUUUGCCCAGAGGUGAAAUCUGCUUAGUCUUCUUACUUUUGGAUGCUGCCUUCAGGGUUUAAUUUGUUUCAAAUUAAGAGCAGGUGGCAGAUGCAAUUAAAGGGAAGAAAACAAUUGCAAAUUAAGCACGAUUUUUAAAACUUAUUUGCAAGGCAGCAACACAUUCAGGGAAUAAAUGCUAAUUAUUUUGAA
Long non-coding RNA from Herpailurus yagouaroundi (jaguarundi), 1376 nucleotides. RefSeq lists it as uncharacterized. Lineage: Eukaryota; Metazoa; Chordata; Mammalia; Carnivora; Felidae. The record is from RefSeq and is a predicted model, not a curated record. The transcript is spliced from 5 exons.